Molecule: ribosomal RNA, 450 nt
Filed under: uncultured bacterium
Lineage: Bacteria
Description: partial 16S ribosomal RNA
Rfam family: Bacterial small subunit ribosomal RNA
Source: RNAcentral
AAUGAACGCUGGCGGCAGGCCUAACACAUGCAAGUCGAACGGAUCCUUCGGGAUUAGUGGCGGACGGGUGAGUAACGCGUGGGAACAUACCCAAAGGUACGGAAUAGCCUCGGGAAACUGGGAGUAAUACCGUAUGUGCUCGAAAGAGGAAAGAUUUAUCGCCUUUGGAUUGGCCCGCGUUGGAUUAGGUAGUUGGUGGGGUAAUGGCCUACCAAGCCGACGAUCCAUAGCUGGUUUGAGAGGAUGAUCAGCCACACUGGGACUGAGACACGGUGCAUACACCUACGGGUGGCAGCAGUAGAUAAUAUUCGACAAUGGGCGGAAGCCUGAUCGAGCGACGCCGCGUGCGGGAAGAAGGCCUUCGGGUCGUAAACCGCUUUUGCGUGGGAAGAAUUUUGACGGUACCACGAGAAUAAGGGGUUGCUAACUCUGUGCCAGCAGCCGCCGUAA